AGAGUGAACGCUGGCGGUAGGCCUAACACAUGCAAGUCGAACGGCAGCACAGUGGUAGCAAUACCAUGGGUGGCGAGUGGCGGACGGGUGAGGAAUACAUCGGAAUCUACCUUUUCGUGGGGGAUAACGUAGGGAAACUUACGCUAAUACCGCAUACGCCCUUCGGGGGAAAGCCGGGGAUCGCAAGACCUGGCGCGGAUAGAUGAGCCGAUGUCGGAUUAGCUAGUUGGUGAGGUAAUGGCUCACCAAGGCGACGAUCCGUAGCUGGUCUGAGAGGAUGAUCAGCCACACUGGAACUGAGACACGGUCCGGACUCCUACGGGAGCAGCAGUGGGGGAAUAGUU
Molecule: ribosomal RNA, 344 nt
Filed under: uncultured soil bacterium
Lineage: Bacteria
Description: bacterial SSU rRNA
Rfam family: Bacterial small subunit ribosomal RNA
Source: RNAcentral